GACGAACGCUGGCGGCGUGCUUAACACAUGCAAGUCGAACGGAAAGGCCCUGCUUUUGUGGGGUGCUCGAGUGGCGAACGGGUGAGUAACACGUGAGUAACCUGCCCUUGACUUUGGGAUAACUUCAGGAAACUGGGGCUAAUACCGGAUAGGAGCUCCUGCUGCAUGGUGGGGGUUGGAAAGUUUCGGCGGUUGGGGAUGGACUCGCGGCUUAUCAGCUUGUUGGUGGGGUAGUGGCUUACCAAGGCUUUGACGGGUAGCCGGCCUGAGAGGGUGACCGGCCACAUUGGGACUGAAAUACGGCCCAGACUCCUACGGGGGGCAGCGGUGGGAAAUAUUGCACAAUGGGCGGAAGCCGGAUGCAGCAACGCCGCGUGCGGGAUGACGGCCUUCGGGUUGUAAACCGCUUUCGCCUGUGACGAAGCGUGAGUGACGGUAAUGGGUAAAGAAGCACCGGCUAACUACGUG
This 468-nucleotide ribosomal RNA is filed under the name uncultured bacterium. RNAcentral describes it as "partial 16S ribosomal RNA". It matches the Rfam family "Bacterial small subunit ribosomal RNA", at positions 28 to 507 of the family's 1533-position model. The record is from RNAcentral.